UACAAGAAUAGUCUAUUGAAUUUGUUGGAAGUUUCACAUCGACUAGAGAUAAGACUACAGUAAUAAGUGGGUGCAAACCUCACUUUAUAAGUUAAUUUUGUGGAGUUGAGUUAGACUUAAAAUUCACUUCUUAACAUGGUAUCAAAGCUAGGUUAGAGCCUAUCAUAGUGAGAUUUGUUAUUUGUUAGGCAUAUUGUUCUACCCGCUAUUAAGCCUCUAUCGAGUCAUCCAUUAAUGUCUAUUCCAACGCUCGAGAUGUAUAUACUUUGGUGUGAGGAGGGUGUGUUGGAAGUCUCACAUCGUUUAGAAAUAAGGUGAUUUCAUAGUAUAUAAACCUCACCGUAUGAGCCGGUGUUGUAGAGUUGAGUUAGGCUUAAAAUCUACUUUUUAACAUGGUAUCAGAGUCAGGUUAGAGUCUAUCUUAGCAAAAUUUGUUAUUUAUUGUGCAUAUUAUUCUAUCCGCUAUCGAGCCGCUAUCAAACCGUUAUUGGGCCACCCAUUAGUGUCUAGUCCUAUGCUCAAGAUGUAUAUACCUCGACAUGAGGGGGUGAAUUGGAAGGAAUGUUGUCAAAAUCGCGAUCUUACUCACAAACUCGAACGAACCUGCGAGUUUUCACAACCCAUGCGAGUUAAAUAGUAUGCUAGAUCAAAAGUUUGCCGGAUUGGAGCGAUCUUUUGAGUUCUUUCGCUAGAUCAGAGGAUUGUGCUUCAUGUCGAUCUUCCAUGGUGAUGUUGAAGAUAGGUUCAAAAGGAGAAAAAAUGGAAUUAGGGUUUGACGACACCAUGUUUUAUUAAAACAGACCUGCUCCAUGUUUUAGUAAAAAACAGACUCAGUUCAGUCCAAAACCCAACUUUUUUCCCUCCUUUUCUUUUAGGUUUGGUUAACUUUUUUUUCACCUCAAAAACAGAAACAAUUUUGCAACCUUACAAACAGAAACUCAUACAAUAUGCACAAAGUUUCACCUGUUGCCAAUGCCUCGUCAUUGAUGCUUCUCAUCGUCCUCAUUGCAUCGCCACUCUUCCCUGUGACUUUUAGGUACUACCCCUGUUUGUUUUCUCUCCACGUCGCCUCUUUUUAUUCUCAAUUUGAAGAAGAAACAAAUGACAUCAAGUGGAAGAAGAAGUGGAAUUGGAGUAAGGACUGAACCAGCAUGGAGUCAUUGUGUUUCUUUUGAUGGGAAAGCAAGAAAUGUAAAAUGUAAAUACUGUGAAAAGUUAUUGACGGGUAGAAUUUAUCGACUCAAGCAUCGUUUAGCAGGAACCUCAAAGGAUGUUGGAGCAUCUAUUGCAGUUCUGAAAGAUGUAAAAAUAUUAAUGUUGGGUGUGGUUUCUGUGUUGCAGAAAAAUCUGAUUAAAAAAUCAAUAACCAGCCAUGGGAUUUAUCUAUAAAGAAAUGGAUAUUGCUAAAGAGAAGAUAGAAAGUAUUUUCAAUGGAGUUAGCAAGAGGUGAAGAUUUGGAAUCGUGAAGCUAAUUUCAUUAUUGUUUUAAUUAAUUGAUUGUACACAGCAAAAAUGAAAAUGCUGGAACUUCCGUAUUUGGUGAUAAACUACUCAAUCUAUUUCUAAAAUGAAAAGGCAAUUCAGUGGCCUCAUUUAAUUCAA
This is a long non-coding RNA of Vigna angularis (adzuki bean), 1602 nucleotides long. RefSeq lists it as uncharacterized. The transcript is spliced from 2 exons. NCBI's taxonomy places the organism in Eukaryota, Viridiplantae, Streptophyta, Magnoliopsida, Fabales, Fabaceae. The record is from RefSeq and is a predicted model, not a curated record.